UGUAUUUAGCUUCAGUAUAAAAGCAGAGCACAUCCAUGAACGCAGACGGAAGCCCCUGCAGCUGCUGGCUAUAAAAACAAGGAUUCUCCCUUUGGAUCUUUAAUACUCCGUGACAUCUCUCUCCGUCUUACAGAUACGAAUGGAGUGUAAAAAGAAAAUAAAGCAAACAAAAAGCUACAGGAGCAUCAGAGACCACAGAUGAGCAAACAACGAGGAAAGAGAGAAAUGGAGGACAGAAAUAAGACCCAAACCUGUGAAUCACAAGAGAAAAGCAGACAGAUAUCUGCUAGAUGUGAGAGUAUGGAGAAACUAAAGCCGUACUUGUAAUGUGAUCCAGACGGACCUGUGAAGAUGAUUCUGAUGUUACAAGAUUCUCACAUUGAACCCUUCAUCACUGAAGUCCAUCAUCAUCUUCAUCAUCAUCAUCAUCAGAAUACUGAUCUGGAAGCUUUUACACUCGUCUGAGCACAAACACACUACAAGAGCUUCUUUCCCAGAGAAUCUGCUGAUGCUGCACUUUACUCUCAAUCCUGUGCAUCAUACAGAUUGUUUUUGUUUAACAAAAUUUGUUUCAAUUUACACUGUCUCAUAUUUCAUUUACUAUGCAUGUUUUUGUAUUCCCGAGCUUUAAUUGCUCAUUCUGAUUGGAAUACAAAAAGAUGCCUAGUAAAUGAAAAUGCAUGAAAUAUUAAGCAGUGGUUUUUAUGAUAUGAUAUUUGUAUGAUUUAUAUGACACAGUAUGAUAUUGUGAUUUAUUUCAUAGAUUGUGUCCACCUGAUUUCUAUCAGAACGGCCGUUUGUGAACUGAACAGAUCUGGCUUCCGCUCUCAUGCACUUCCAGUUAUUUUUAGCUGUUCAAAACAGCUGUUUAAUAUUACAAAACCUGGGUUUUACCAUGAUAUUUUAAUGAAUUGUCAUUAUUAAUACGCUGGUCUGCAGUGCAAAUUGUUAUACAGUUUACGACACUCAAUUCUUCAAGUAUUUUCAUAUUGCAGCAGAUGAAUCUGAAGUUGCACACGUUCAGAAAAUCAAUUUUGCUAAAAAAGAUGGAUAUUUAUUUCGUAUCCUUCAAUACCGUUUGUUGCAUAUGUAUUUAUUAACGCUUCACCCUAUUCUUAAUUAACAGUAAUGAUUCAGUAUUCUGUUAGUGCAACUGACUCCAAGCUAUUUGUAUACUAUAGUGUCCUCCGUUCUCAAACUGCUCUUCACAUGUAGGUUUAUAUCGAUGCUGGAGUCAGUAACAGCAUCUCACAGCUGGACAUGACCCUCGACAGAUCAGAGUCCUCUCUCUCUCUCUCUCUCACACACACACACACACACACACACACAGACACACACACACACAGACACACACGCUGAUCUCUGUACUGUCUCAAGUUACUAUCACUGUGCUGUCUGUGAACACUAAGUGUCUUAUCAAGGACUGAUCCACAGGUGCAUGUGCAAUAAAUGUUUAUUGUUCAUUAAACAAGCUUGAAAA
Cyprinus carpio (common carp) is the source of this 1480-nucleotide long non-coding RNA. RefSeq lists it as uncharacterized. Lineage: Eukaryota; Metazoa; Chordata; Actinopteri; Cypriniformes; Cyprinidae. The record is from RefSeq and is a predicted model, not a curated record.